This 524-nucleotide ribosomal RNA is filed under the name uncultured bacterium. Its description in RNAcentral is "bacterial SSU rRNA". It matches the Rfam family "Bacterial small subunit ribosomal RNA", at positions 21 to 518 of the family's 1533-position model. The record is from RNAcentral.
GGCUCAGGACGAACGCUGGCGGCGUGCCUAAUACAUGCAAGUCGAACGGUCUUUCUAUGGAAGCUUGCUUCCACUGAGAAGAUAGUGGCGAACGGGUGAGUAACACGUGGGUAACCUGCCCAUAAGAGGGGGGAUAACAUCCGGAAACGGGUGCUAAUACCGCAUAGUUUCUUGAUCGCAUGAUCGGGAAAGGAAAGACGGCCUUUGUGCUGUCGCUUAUGGAUGGACCCGCGGCGUAUUAGUUAGUUGGUGAGGUAACGGCUCACCAAGACGAUGAUACGUAGCCGACCUGAGAGGGUGAUCGGCCACAUUGGGACUGAGACACGGCCCAAACUCCUACGGGAGGCAGCAGUAGGGAAUCUUCCGCAAUGGACGAAAGUCUGACGGAGCAACGCCGCGUGAGUGAAGAAAGGUUUUCGGAUCGUAAAACUCUGUUGUCAGAGAAGAACAAGUUGGAGAGUAACUGCUCCAGCCUUGACGGUAUCUGACCAGAAAGCCACGGCUAACUACGUGCCAGCAGCCGC